GACUGUAUUUUCAGGGAUCAUUUCUAUAGUUCUUUACUUGGAAAUGUGUUUUGAAAGUGUUUGUCUCUCAACCCGCGAUGAUGAGCUGUAAUGCUUCUUUCUGAGAGUGAAUCAAGGUCAGAACUGUGACUUUAGUCGCAAUCUGUCGUUGAUGAGCAGUCAAGGGUAGAACUGUGAAUUUAGUCACAAUCUGUCGUUGAUGAGCGUUAAUAUUGUUUUUGGCAAUAUUGAAGAAAGGGGUAUGAUCUGAGUGGU
RNAcentral lists this small nucleolar RNA (255 nucleotides) under Sinocyclocheilus rhinocerous. RNAcentral's name for it is "Small nucleolar RNA U3 (ENSSRHG00000004887.1)". It matches the Rfam family "Small nucleolar RNA U3". From Rfam's summary of the family: Small nucleolar RNAs (snoRNAs) are involved in the processing and modification of rRNA in the nucleolus. There are two main classes of snoRNAs: the box C/D class, and the box H/ACA class. The record is from RNAcentral. Lineage: Eukaryota; Metazoa; Chordata; Actinopteri; Cypriniformes; Cyprinidae.